CAACCACUCAAGCCUGGCUUGGUAUUGGGAUUUGCGGUUCCGCAGCCCCUAAAAUCAGUGGCGGUGCCGGUGUGGCUCUACGCGUAGUAAUUCUUCUCGCGAUGGAGUUCCCCUGGAGACCUGCCAGAACCCCCCCCAUUUUUACA
This 146-nucleotide unclassified non-coding RNA is filed under the name Trimmatostroma salicis. RNAcentral describes it as "partial internal transcribed spacer 2". The record is from RNAcentral. Lineage: Eukaryota; Fungi; Ascomycota; Dothideomycetes; Mycosphaerellales; Mycosphaerellaceae.